GGAGAGGUGCGAGAGUGGUUUAAUCGGGCGGUCUCGAAAACCGUUGUACCCCUAACCGGGUACCCAGGGUUCGAAUCCCUGCCUCUCCG
RNAcentral lists this transfer RNA (89 nucleotides) under Candidatus Zhuqueibacterota bacterium. RNAcentral's name for it is "candidate division KSB1 bacterium (microbial mat metagenome) tRNA-Ser". It matches the Rfam family "tRNA". Rfam says of the family: Transfer RNA (tRNA) molecules are approximately 80 nucleotides in length. Their secondary structure includes four short double-helical elements and three loops (D, anti-codon, and T loops). Further hydrogen bonds mediate the characteristic L-shaped molecular structure. tRNAs have two regions of fundamental functional importance: the anti-codon, which is responsible for specific mRNA codon recognition, and the 3' end, to which the tRNAs corresponding amino acid is attached (by aminoacyl-tRNA synthetases). tRNAs cope with the degeneracy of the genetic code in two manners: having more than one tRNA (with a specific anti-codon) for a particular amino acid; and 'wobble' base-pairing, i.e. permitting non-standard base-pairing at the 3rd anti-codon position. Lineage: Bacteria; Pseudomonadati. The record is from RNAcentral.